Molecule: transfer RNA, 73 nt
Filed under: Nanobdellota archaeon
Lineage: Archaea; Nanobdellati; Nanobdellota
Description: tRNA-Asn
Rfam family: tRNA
About the family: Transfer RNA (tRNA) molecules are approximately 80 nucleotides in length. Their secondary structure includes four short double-helical elements and three loops (D, anti-codon, and T loops).
Source: RNAcentral
GCCUCGGUAGCUCAGUAGGUAGAGCAACUGACUGUUAAUCAGUAGGUCAAAGGUUCGAGUCCUUUCCGAGGCG